ACGAACGCUGGCGGCGUGCCUAAUACAUGCAAGUUGAGCGCUGAAGGUUGGUACUUGUACCAACUGGAUGAGCAGCAAACGGGUGAGUAACGCGUGGGGAAUCUGCCUUUGAGCGGGGGACAACAUUUGGAAACGAAUGCUAAUACCGCAUAAAAACUUUAAACACAAGUUUUAAGUUUGAAAGAUGCAAUUGCAUCACUCAAAGAUGAUCCCGCGUUGUAUUAGCUAGUUGGUGAGGUAAAGGCUCACCAAGGCGAUGAUACAUAGCCGACCUGAGAGGGUGAUCGGCCACAUUGGGACUGAGACACGGCCCAAACGCCUACGGGAGGCAGCAGUAGGGAAUCUUCGGCAAUGGACGAAAGUCUGACCGAGCAACGCCGCGUGAGUGAAGAAGGUUUUCGGAUCGUAAAACUCUGUUGGUAGAGAAGAACGUUGGUGAGAGUGGAAAGCUCAUCAAGUGACGGUAACUACCCAGAAAGGGACGGCUAACUACGUG
RNAcentral lists this ribosomal RNA (496 nucleotides) under uncultured bacterium. RNAcentral describes it as "partial 16S ribosomal RNA". It matches the Rfam family "Bacterial small subunit ribosomal RNA", at positions 29 to 507 of the family's 1533-position model. The record is from RNAcentral.